RNAcentral lists this ribosomal RNA (477 nucleotides) under uncultured bacterium. RNAcentral describes it as "bacterial SSU rRNA". It matches the Rfam family "Bacterial small subunit ribosomal RNA", at positions 45 to 507 of the family's 1533-position model. The record is from RNAcentral.
UGGAUACACAGAAAACUGAGGAGCUGAAAUGUUGAGUGCUGGAGGCAACCUAGCGGCGGACGGGUGAGUAACGCGUGAGCAAUCUGCCUCAUACAGGGGGAUAACAGGUGGAAACACUUGCUAAUACCGCAUAAGACCACAGCGCUGCAUGGCGCAGGGGUCAAAGGAGUAAGAUCCGGUAUGAGAUGAGCUCGCGUCCCAUUAGCUAGUUGGUGAGGUAAGAGCUCACCAAGGCGAUGAUAGAUAGGCGGCCUUAACGGGUGGUCGCCCACACUGGGAUUGAGAUACGGCCCAGACUCCUACGGGAGGCAGCAGUCGAGAAUAGUCUACAAUGGCCGGAAGGCUGAUAGUGCGACGCCGCGUGAACGAGGGAGCCCUUCGGGGUGUAAAGUUCUUUUCUAUACGAGCAGUGCUAUAUAUAUGGAUAGUAUAUAUAGAGGGAUAGUAGUAUAGGAAUAAGCAACGGCUAACUCCGUG